Molecule: non-coding RNA, 208 nt
Organism: Paramuricea clavata
Lineage: Eukaryota; Metazoa; Cnidaria; Anthozoa; Malacalcyonacea; Plexauridae
Source: the annotation of a GenBank genome assembly
AGGGACCGGUCAUUAUUUAUGGCAGGGGUGGGGGCCGAAGAGAAAAUGGUGGGGUAACUGAAAAAUAAUAGUUGCUUUAGGUGGGGUGGCCAAAAAAUCCUUGCAUGCAGAGGUGGGGUAAAAAAAAAAACCCUUUAAUCACACACAAUACAAUAUAUACUACUAUCAGAAUUUAAUAUGUGAUUAUUCUAAUUUUUUAAUAAAAUAU